Long non-coding RNA from Schistocerca nitens (vagrant locust), 510 nucleotides. RefSeq lists it as uncharacterized. The transcript has 3 exons. Lineage: Eukaryota; Metazoa; Arthropoda; Insecta; Orthoptera; Acrididae. The record is from RefSeq and is a predicted model, not a curated record.
CGGUAUACGAGGGUACGAGCGGGUCAGCAAUCACGUGGUCUCAAUAUGAACGUAGUGGCGGUGUGUGUACUGUGUUAAAUUGUCCGUUAUUACUGCGACUACAACCAUGCUGUGCCUACGUGGUCUCAACUGCUUCUGCCACGAUUUGACAUUUACAACUCUGAGGCUUCGCCUUCGCUGAGCUGCACGAAUCUCAUUCUCAGCAGAAGUGUCAGCUGCCAUGAUAAGGUGUUGCUCCACUGUGACACGCCUCAGGUACUGUACACACAACCCCAUCGGCUGCCCGACACCUGUCAAGUCUGCCACAGUGCUGGCCAUCUGUCGCAGCAGGAGUCUUAGAUUCUCAGUCACUAUAAAAAAAACAAGCUAUUUUUUAAAUAAUUAAUCCUGUUUUGUGUUUCCACUGAACAUUUAUUGUAAUCUCAAAUUAAUCCAAAGCAUCUUGACAAAUCUGAAAUAAGUUGUAACAUACUUGUAAUAAUGAAAUAAAUCAACAAACUACAUGCUUUC